RNAcentral lists this ribosomal RNA (484 nucleotides) under uncultured bacterium. RNAcentral's name for it is "partial 16S ribosomal RNA". It matches the Rfam family "Bacterial small subunit ribosomal RNA", at positions 30 to 507 of the family's 1533-position model. The record is from RNAcentral.
AUUGGACGCUGGCGGCAGGCCUAACACGUGCAAGUCGAGCGGAUGAAGGGAGCUUGCUCCUGGAUUCAGCGGCGGACGGGUGAGUAAUGCCUAGGAAUCUGCCUGGCUGUGGGGUAUAACGUCCGGAAACGGGCGCUAAUACCGCAUACUUCCUGAGGGAGAAAGUGGGGGAUCUUUGGACCUCACGCUAUCAGAUGAGCCUAGGUCGGAUUAGCUAGUUGGUGGGGUAAAGGCCUACCAAGGCGACGAUCCGUAACUGGUCUGAGAGGAUGAUCAGUCACACUGGAACUGAGACACGGUCCAGGCUCCUAAGGGAGGCAGCAGUGGGGAAUAUUGGACAAUGGGCGAAAGCAUUAUCCAGCCAUGCCGCGUGUGUGGAGAAGGUGUUCGGAUUGUAAAGCACUUUAAGGUGGGAGAAAGGGCAGUAAGUUAAUACCUUGCUGUUUUGACGUUACCAACAGAAUAAGCACCGGCUAACUACGUG